ACGCUCGACACCUACGGGAGGCAGCAGUGGGGAAUAUUGCACAAUGGGGGAAACCCUGAUGCAGCGACGCCGCGUGGAGGAAGAAGGUCUUCGGAUUGUAAACUCCUGUUGUUGGGGAAAAAGAGGAUGGUACCCAACAAGGAAGUGACGGCUAACUACGUGACAGCAGCCGCGGUAAUCUGAGCGGGCUGGCAAGGC
This 198-nucleotide ribosomal RNA is filed under the name uncultured bacterium. RNAcentral's name for it is "partial 16S ribosomal RNA". It matches the Rfam family "Bacterial small subunit ribosomal RNA", at positions 328 to 539 of the family's 1533-position model. The record is from RNAcentral.